This 492-nucleotide ribosomal RNA is filed under the name uncultured bacterium. RNAcentral describes it as "partial 16S ribosomal RNA". It matches the Rfam family "Bacterial small subunit ribosomal RNA", at positions 28 to 507 of the family's 1533-position model. The record is from RNAcentral.
GAUGAACGCUAGCUAUAGGCUUAACACAUGCAAGUCGAGGGGAAACGGCAUUAUGUGCUUGCACAUUUUGGACGUCGACCGGCGCACGGGUGAGUAUCGCGUAUCCAUCCUGCCCUUUACUUGGGGAUACCCCGUUGAAAGACGGCCUAAUACCCGAUGUAAUUCAUUGAUGGCAUCAGAUAUGAAUAAAAGAUUUAUCGGUAAAGGAUGGGGAUGCGUCUGAUUAGCUUGUUGGUGAGGUAACGGCUCACCAAGGCGACGAUCAGUAGGGGUUCUGAGAGGAAGGUCCCCCACAUUGGAACUGAGACACGGUCCAAACUCCUACGGGAGGCAGCAGUGAGGAAUAUUGGUCAAUGGGCGCAAGCCUGAACCAGCCAAGUAGCGUGCAGGAAGACGGCCCUAUGGGUUGUAAACUGCUUUUAUACGAGAAUAAUUUGAUGCACGUGUGCGUUAUUGCAUGUAUCGUAUGAAUAAGGACCGGCUAAUUCCGUG